AUACGUAGGUGACAAGCGUUAUCCGGAUUUAUUGGGUGUAAAGGGCGUGUAGGCGGAGAUGCAAGUCAGGAGUGAAAUCUAGGGGCUCAACCCCUAAACUGCUUUUGAAACUGUAUCCCUUGAGUAUCGUAGAGGCAGGUGGAAUUUCUAGUGUAGCGGUGAAAUGCGUAGAUAUUAGGAGGAAUAACAGUGGCGAAGGGGGCCUGCUGGACGACAACUGACGCUGAGGCGCGAAAGCGUGGGGAGCAAACAGGAUUAGAUGCCCUGGUAGUCCACGCUGUAAACGAUGAAUACUAGGUGUGGGGGGACUGACCCCCUCCGUGCCGCAGUUAACACAAUAAGUAUUCCACCUGGGGAGUACGAUCGCAAGAUUGAAACUCAAAGGAAUUGACGGGG
RNAcentral lists this ribosomal RNA (396 nucleotides) under uncultured bacterium. RNAcentral's name for it is "partial 16S ribosomal RNA". It matches the Rfam family "Bacterial small subunit ribosomal RNA", at positions 523 to 918 of the family's 1533-position model. The record is from RNAcentral.